GUCCCGUCAGAAACCUUCGCUGGACACAAACGGGCUCCACUGCUGCAGCCGGAAAGCGAGAUGUCCCAGCCGUGGCACGGGAAACCGGUCACCCCUAGUGUCGCGUCAGCUUCCCGGGAACCGGGCACUCAGCCCAGCCAAGGCCCGGUCCCCUGUGAGCGCUCAGCCCCCGCGUGACCCAGAGCACCCGGGACGGCUCAUGCGGGCAAAACGCGAAGGCCGUGUGGUGGAGGGCCACCGGCGUCGCCGUGGACGGCCACCGGACACCUGACCAGCGAAUGCAACGUCCCAGAAGAUGCAGAGGUUAAAAAGCACAAAUAAUUUAAUAGCGCCACACAGGACCUCCACCAAACCGGCGGCACAGGGGACCCCGGCCCGCGGAGCCUCAGCGGAUGACGGUGACGUGGGGCGGAGCGGCGGUCUUGGGGUCCGAGCGCUGGCCCGGGCUGCCGUCGGCCUCGGCGUCCGACAGCGAGCCUUCCUCCUCGGUCUCCAGUGUGUACUUGUUCAACUCCGCCAUUUUCUGCAAGCGGAACGGGACUUCUCAGUCUGGGGCAGCGGCCCGGGGGCCGGGCGGCAGGCGCAGGCGCAGGCCCUCACUCACCAGGACCAGGGCGUCCAUGACGUCUUUACAGAUCUGCAGGCUGGUGGCACUGGUGACUUCCAGAAACAAAUCAGACGUCGUCUUCUUAAUCUGUGGAAACCCAAGGAACGUUUCUGAGGGGAGUGACGUCAUCGCACGCGGACAGCAGCAGCUCCGCGCUGACUCAGAGGUAACCUGGAAAGCCAUCUCCUCCCCAGGCAGGCUCGGCUGCUCCCGGCUCGGCCGUGGCCCCCGCACCUCGCGCGGACAGGACACGUGCGGGCUGUUCUCCAGGGAGAGGCGCAGGGGACGGGUGGGCCGACCCUACCUUUGUCUUCUCGCUGUUGGUGAUCGGGGGGAAGGAGAUGGUGUCCCCCGCGGCGUCCACCAGGCAGGGGUAGCUGUCUUUCCCAUCCAGCAGGUGCAGGUACCUGUGCGGGGGCAGCGCCUGCCUGAGGGUCGGAGCGGACAAACCGCAACCUGCCUCGGACGGCGGGCCAGGGGCACGCGCUCCUCACGCUCCCGAGGCCUGCACCCAGCCCGCGUGUGUCCCUGAGCGGUGCCCGAUCGGAGCAGGUCCGGGAUCCGCACUGGCUGACGGCGCCCAGCGGCGCGGGGCCUGGAUAAAGUGCGUGGGUUUGGCUGGCAUCUUGUGCUCGGCUGCUAUUGGCUGGAACAGCCCUGCCCCGUCCAGGGGCCACCCCGAAGAGGGCUGCACGCCCCCACACGUGCGGGGCCACCUAGGGCAGACGGGACCCCCGCCCCGCCCCGCCCCGCCGGGAGCCGCGGCUUUGCUCAGGGCACCUGUGCAGGCCGGAGACACCCUGCCGCUUGCGCUGCUUCCGCUGCUCGUCCGCCUCCAGCUGCAGCUGCCGCACCAGCUCCUUGGCCUUGGCCUCCCUCCGCCCCAAGGGGACGAUCUGUCAGGUGGAAACGCGGGACGGCCGUCGUGGUCACAACCACACACGCCAGGGCUCGCUCCCCUCCCCUCCCUCACCGGCAGAGGGGGGACGGGGCGGUCCAGCCCAACGAGGGGCUCGGCCCCCGAGGGCCUCACCACAGGGCGCUGCCCAGGCACGG
RNAcentral lists this long non-coding RNA (1663 nucleotides) under Oryctolagus cuniculus (rabbit). Its description in RNAcentral is "lncRNA (ENSOCUG00000039577.1)". The record is from RNAcentral. Lineage: Eukaryota; Metazoa; Chordata; Mammalia; Lagomorpha; Leporidae.